This 465-nucleotide ribosomal RNA is filed under the name Vreelandella stevensii. Its description in RNAcentral is "partial 16S ribosomal RNA". It matches the Rfam family "Bacterial small subunit ribosomal RNA", at positions 338 to 795 of the family's 1533-position model. The record is from RNAcentral. Lineage: Bacteria; Pseudomonadati; Pseudomonadota; Gammaproteobacteria; Oceanospirillales; Halomonadaceae.
CCUACGGGGGGCAGCAGUGGGGAAUAUUGGACAAUGGGCGAAAGCCUGAUCCAGCCAUGCCGCGUGUGUGAAGAAGGCCUUCGGGUUGUAAAGCACUUUCAGUGGGGAAGAAAGCCUUGGGGCUAAUACCCUCGAGGAAGGACAUCACCCACAGAAGAAGCACCGGCUAACUCCGUGCCAGCAGCCGCGGUAAUACGGAGGGUGCGAGCGUUAAUCGGAAUUACUGGGCGUAAAGCGCGCGUAGGCGGUCUGAUAAGCCGGUUGUGAAAGCCCCGGGCUCAACCUGGGAACGGCAUCCGGAACUGUCAGGCUAGAGUGCAGGAGAGGAAGGUAGAAUUCCCGGUGUAGCGGUGAAAUGCGUAGAGAUCGGGAGGAAUACCAGUGGCGAAGGCGGCCUUCUGGACUGACACUGACGCUGAGGUGCGAAAGCGUGGGUAGCAAACAGGAUUAGAUCCCCCGGUAGUC